Molecule: long non-coding RNA, 357 nt
Organism: Poecilia latipinna (sailfin molly)
Lineage: Eukaryota; Metazoa; Chordata; Actinopteri; Cyprinodontiformes; Poeciliidae
Exons: 3
Source: RefSeq, a predicted model, not a curated record
UGUUAGAGGGUGAAUCAAAUUAAUUUUCUUAAUUAUGAAACUCAAACUCUGACUUCCAGCAGCAAAUGAAACCAUUAUCCUGUCUGUGUAGCGUGAGUAUUAGAGCUGAUUACACAUUGACAAACAGCUUUGCUCAAGUAAUUCAGCCUAAUCAUGAUAACAGUGCUAUUUAUCUUCAGUUGUGUCUUAGCCCUAGCUUGGCUUUAGACAUGAAAAGAGGAUGCUAGCUUGGUAAGCGAUACCAUGCUAAUUAUUGGAUUGUGUUUACUUUUGCUUAGAAAUGAUACAACAAGAUUUAAAGUCUGGGUGGGAAACGUUUGUGCAUUGAUUGAAACUAAAGGCACUCAGAAAAAAAAA